RNAcentral lists this ribosomal RNA (1246 nucleotides) under metagenome. Its description in RNAcentral is "bacterial LSU rRNA". It matches the Rfam family "Bacterial large subunit ribosomal RNA", at positions 1564 to 2818 of the family's 2925-position model. The record is from RNAcentral.
CGAGUCCGAGGAGCUAAGGCUCCAAAGUGAUGCGAGUCAGACUUCCCAGAAAAGCCCGAACCACGUUAAUUUCUAAUUACCUGUACCCGGAACCGACACAGGUGGGUAGGUAGAGUAUACUAAGGGGCGCGAGAUAACUCUCUCUAAGGAACUCGGCAAAAUGACUCCGUAACUUCGGGAGAAGGAGUGCCUUAUUUAUAAGGUUGCAAUAACAAGAUCCAAGCAACUGUUUAUCAAAAACACAGGUCUCCGCUAAGUCGUAAGACGAUGUAUGGGGGCUGACGCCUGCCCAGUGCCAGAAGGUUAAAGAAGUUGGUUAGUGUAUGCGAAGCUGAUGACUGAAGCCCUGGUGAACGGCGGCCGUAACGAUAACGGUCCUAAGGUAGCGAAAUUCCUUGUCGGGUAAGUUCCGACCCGCACGAAAGGCGUAAUGAUUUGGAUACUGUCUCGGAGAGAGGCUCGGUGAAAUAGACUUGUCUGUGAAGAUGCGGACUACCUGCACCAGGACAGAAAGACCCUAUGAAGCUUUACUGUAACUUGAAAUUGGAAUUGGACUUUGCUUGCGCAGUAUAGGUGGGAAGCGUUGAAGAUAUUCUUGCGGGAGUAUUGGAGCUAUCAGUGAGAUACCACUCUUGUAAUGUUAGAUUUCUAACUUUGAACCAUAAUCUGGUCAAAGAACAGUUUCAGGUGGGCAGUUUGACUGGGGCGGUCGCCUCCCAAAUGGUAACGGAGGCGUACAAAGGUUUCCUCUGAACGGAUAGAAAUCGUAUCUAGAGUGUAAAGGCAUAAGGAAGCUUGACUGUGAGACCUACAAGUCGAGCAGGGACGAAAGUCGGUCUUAGUGAUCUGACGGUACUGAGUGGAAAGGCCGUCACUCAACGGAUAAAAGUUACUCUAAGGAUAACAGGCUGAUCUCCCCCAAGAGUUCACAUCGACGGGGAGGUUUGGCGCCUCGAUGUCGGCUCAUCGCAUCCUGGGGCGGUAGCACGUCCCAAGGGUUGGGCUGUUCGCCCAUGAAAGCGGUACGCGAGCUGGGUUCAGGACGUCGUGAGACAGUUCGGUCCAUAUCCGGUGUAGGCGUUAGAAUAUUGAGAGGAGCCUUCUUUAGUACGAGAGGACCGAGAAGGACACACCGCUGGUGUACCAGUUAUCGUGCCAACGGUAAACGCUGGGUAGCUAUGUGUGGAGUGGAUAACCGCUGAAAGCAUCUAAGUGGGAAGCCCACCUCAAGAUGAGUAUUCUCAUC